This 1971-nucleotide long non-coding RNA is filed under the name Gallus gallus (chicken). Its description in RNAcentral is "long non-coding RNA NONGGAT001509". Lineage: Eukaryota; Metazoa; Chordata; Aves; Galliformes; Phasianidae. The record is from RNAcentral.
AAACAAGCUUCUGUUCCCAGCAGCUUCUAGUUUGAAAGCAGAGCUAGUUUGAAAGCCUUGAAUCAUUCUGCAUAAAUUUUAUUGUAAAAUCAUUUCUAACCUCUUGCAAAUUUCGAGCAUCUCCAAAAGCAGCGCAAACUUGCCAGCAUUUCUUCCUGGUUUGCAGAAGUUCAGCUCCUCACCCCCAUCAGUACUCUCUGACUCCCUCUUGGAUGCAGGACUGAGCAAUUUGGAGAAAGAAGGGACAGCUUUAAAAACAAGAAUGCGUUUCACACAGAGGAAUGGUACCACACUGACAGCUCUAGCAGAUAAAACGUGGGCAGCCUUCAAAUAGCUCUGGAAAAACACCACCAUCCUGCCUCUUCUCCAUGCACCUCCCAGGAGACCGGUGAUGAAAGCCAGGAGAGCAAAACAUGCAACUCUGAUGGGAUAUGAAAUGUGGGUGAUCGUGCCAUGAACCGCUGCAUCUUCCCGACAGUCAUGCUGCGCAUUAAACACAUCAGGAUCUAUAUGUCUGCUGUCACAAUGUGGUUUUAUCACAUAUUUUUAUUUCCUUAGCACCUGAAUGGCAGCUUUAGAAAUCAAAUUACAGUCUGAGUGCUACAGGCUGCAGCCCCCUGACUAAGCUACUAAAUCAGACUUAAUUGAAACAACAAACAAGCCCAAAUAGCCGUUCCUUAGGAAAACGUUGCCCUUACAACACACUGCUUUUACUUCUAACUUAACUUGACUGGAUUUAUUGACUAGCUGGUAUUUCUGCUACUGCAUUUGAAGUCUAUCGAUUCUUAGAAAUAUGAAAUGAGUUUCAAAGAGGUCAGAAUGUGACUUUGUGUCCAAGAGAGUCACAAAGACAUUCAGAAAUACUAACGGGAGCAGCGGGAACUACAGAAACCUAAAUGAGGUUUCUGGUUCACACCAACAGAGAUCAGUGGUUUUUGAAGGGCGCUGCCCAUUGGCAGCCAGGUGCCUUGCCCAAAAAGAGCACAGGGGCUGAACCACUUCCCAGCAAACUGGUACCACACUGCAAGAAAAUGCUGCCCAGGCUAUCAUUCCAACUACCACCCCCUCCACUAACACACAUUUUUGGGAAGGAAGAUGCUCUGAGGACACAAGGUUGAAAUGGCACUCCUUCAGCACAGAGAGAGGUAUGUGCUGGCAGGGAAGUCUGGAAGGAAAAUGCUCUAAACAGGUAGCACAGAAUUUGCAGAAAAGCAGGAUGCCUACACACUCCCAAAGGCAUUGAGCUAAAACAGAUCGUUACCAAAGACUGGAGAGAAUUCAAAUGUUUGGAAUAAACCUACAUUGCAAAAAAGGAAAAUUAGUAGAGGAAGAGGCUGAGGAUACCAGAAGUAGCCCUCAUUUCUGAAAGUACAGAAGUGGAUGUAUUCAGCGAGAAACCAUUUCUCAAAAUGAUUUGCAUUCCAUGUUCAGAAAUCUUCGUUGAGGGCUGAAAAGAAUUUGAGGUUUAUGUCUGCAUCAUCUGGAAUGAACAUUUACAUUCUACAAAGAAAAGAAACUGUAUUCUUCAGAUGUGACCCCUCUGAGGCAGGUAACAAAUAAGAUAUAUUUGACAAAGGAAGAAAAGCUUUCUCACAAAUCUAUGGUUUUUCUAGCCCCCAAAUGGCUGCAGUCUGCCUUCAAAACUCUCUUUCAGGCUGAUGCUUGCUUCACGAUCUGUUAGUUUUGUCUAAACUACUCUUUCUAAUGGUAGUCCAGCUUUUUCCUUCUGACCUCUGCUGCACUCAGCAGGUAUCAGGCAACAGUCAUCUGGUCCUUCUGGCAUUGUCGUCUCCAUAUCUGUGUGAGCCACUACCUCUCCUGCUGCCAGGUCAUUCUAGGAAGUACUUGGAGAAAAGACAGCAUAGGGGAAGACAAUGUGUAGGAUUACUGACAUGUUUGUUAUGUUUACUGCUGUUAAUGUGUGCUUUUACUGAAAAACAGAGCUCAUCUAUUACGCUCAGCUUAAAAAUC